UACCACUUUGUGGUUCAUGACUUGGGGGUGAAGUCCGUAACAAGGUUAGCGCUAAGGGGGAACCUGGCGCUGGAAUCACCUCCUUAAACGAUGAU
This 95-nucleotide ribosomal RNA is filed under the name Vibrio parahaemolyticus. RNAcentral's name for it is "partial 16S ribosomal RNA". Lineage: Bacteria; Pseudomonadati; Pseudomonadota; Gammaproteobacteria; Vibrionales; Vibrionaceae. The record is from RNAcentral.